Molecule: ribosomal RNA, 301 nt
Filed under: uncultured bacterium
Lineage: Bacteria
Description: partial 16S ribosomal RNA
Rfam family: Bacterial small subunit ribosomal RNA
Source: RNAcentral
CAGUCGCCGCGGGAAUACGAAGGGUGCAAGCGUUACUCGGAAUUACUGGGCGUAAAGCGUGUGUAGGUGGUUGUUUAAGUCUGUCGUGAAAGCCCUGGGCUCAACCUGGGAAUUGCGAUGGAUACUGGGCGACUAGAGUGCGGUAGAGGAUAGUGGAAUUUCCGGUGUAGCAGUGAAAUGCGUAGAGAUCGGAAGGAACAUCUGUGGCGAAGGCGACUAUCUGGGCCAACACUGACACUGAGACACGAAAGCGUGGGGAGCAAACAGGAUUAGAUACCCCGUAGUCCCUGUCUCUUAUACA